GACGAACGCUGGCGGCGUGCUUAACACAUGCAAGUCGAACGGAAAGGCCUGCUUUCCCUUGUGGUUUGCGGGUACUCGAGUGGCGAACGGGUGAGUAACACGUGAGUGAUCUGCCCCCAACUUGGGUAUAAGCCUGGGAAACUGGGUCUAAUUCCCGAUAGGACUGCAGGGUGGUGCCUGUGGUGGAAAACGAUCUUCUAGUGGUUGGGGAUGAGCGCGCGGCCUAUCAGCUUGUUGGUGGGGUAAUGGCCGACCAAGGCGGCGACGGGUAGCCGGCCUGAGAGGGUGGACGGCCACAUUGAGACUGGGAUACGACCCAGACUCCUACGGGAGGCAGCAGUGAGGAAUAUUGCGCAGUGAGCGGAAGCCUGAUGCGGCGACGCCGCGAGGGAGAUGACGGCCUUCGGGUUGUAUACUCCUUUCGACCGCGAGGAAGCCACCUAGUUGGAAGGGUGGUGACGGUAGUGGUAGAAGAAGCACCGGCUAACUACGUG
This 494-nucleotide ribosomal RNA is filed under the name uncultured bacterium. RNAcentral's name for it is "partial 16S ribosomal RNA". It matches the Rfam family "Bacterial small subunit ribosomal RNA", at positions 28 to 507 of the family's 1533-position model. The record is from RNAcentral.